UACGUAGGGGGCAAGCGUUGUCCGGAUUUAUUGGGCGUAAAGAGCGUGUAGGCGGCCAGAUAGGUCAGCUGUGAAAACUCGAGGCUCAACCUCGAGAUGUCGGCUGAAACCAUCUGGCUAGAGUCCGGAAGAGGAGAAUGGAAUUCCCGGUGUAGCGGUGAAAUGCGCAGAUAUCGGGAAGAACACCCGUGGCGAAGGCGGUUCUCUGGGACGUUACUGACGCUGAGACGCGAAAGCGUGGGGAGCAAACAGG
RNAcentral lists this ribosomal RNA (253 nucleotides) under uncultured bacterium. RNAcentral's name for it is "partial 16S ribosomal RNA". It matches the Rfam family "Bacterial small subunit ribosomal RNA", at positions 524 to 776 of the family's 1533-position model. The record is from RNAcentral.